This 468-nucleotide ribosomal RNA is filed under the name uncultured bacterium. RNAcentral's name for it is "SSU rRNA". It matches the Rfam family "Bacterial small subunit ribosomal RNA", at positions 26 to 518 of the family's 1533-position model. The record is from RNAcentral.
AGAACGAACGCUGGCGGCAGGCUUAACACAUGCAAGUCGAACGCCCCGCAAGGGGAGUGGCAGACGGGUGAGUAACGCGUGGGAAUCUACCUGGUUCUACGGAAUAACUGAGGGAAACUUCAGCUAAUACCGUAUACGCCCCAAGGGGGAAAGAUUUAUCGGUGCCAGAUGAGCCCGCGUUGGAUUAGCUAGUUGGUAGGGUAAUGGCCUACCAAGGCGACAAUCCGUAGCUGGUCUGAGAGGACGACCAGCCACACUGGGACUGAGACACGGCCCAGACUCCUACGGGAGGCAGCAGUGGGGAAUAUUGGACAAUGGGGGCAACCCUGAUCCAGCGACGCCGCGUGUGUGAAGAAGGCCUGCGGGUUGUAAAGCACUUUUAGUGGGGAUGAAAAGCUCAGGGUUAACACCUCUGGGUCUUGACCUAACCACAGAAAAAGCACCGGCUAACUCUGUGCCAGCAGCCGC